Molecule: long non-coding RNA, 538 nt
Filed under: Ricinus communis (castor bean)
Lineage: Eukaryota; Viridiplantae; Streptophyta; Magnoliopsida; Malpighiales; Euphorbiaceae
Description: long non-coding RNA (RCOM_LNC000279)
Source: RNAcentral
AGGUUCAUUCAAAGGCAAGGAAGUGGUAAGAGAAAAAGAAUAUGAUUACUUUGUUAUCCUAUAAAUUUUGGUAAGUAUUUAAUAGACUAAACUUUGUGUAUAUUGAGUAGGAACUGCUGUUUGAUUACUUGAUAAUUUUUUGGUUGACUGAGUUGAUAUUAGUUAUGUUUUUGGCUUGUUGUAAAGUGAAUUGAUUGUGAUGUGUUGUAAAGUGAAUUGAUUGUGAUGUGUUGUGAAGUGAAUUGAUUGCGAUUAAGGAUUGAUGACUCUUGAAUGGAUAUUGUGUGAUCGGGAAAGCUGAGGUGGGCGGAUAGCUACCCGAGUAUGUGAGAUUGCAAGACUGAGCCGGGCGGAUAGUCUUGUCAAGUGGUUACUGAAAUUUUAAAAUGUGAGAAAAUGUAAGGAUGAGUCAUCUGAUCCUAAUUUGAUAGAAAUAAUGUGGAAUUGAAUUAUUUGACUCGGUUGAGUUUGAGAUUAUUUGCAUUAUGUGAGAUGAAAUUAUUUAUUUAUGAGAAUAAUUGAAAUGGUUGAUUUUGUG